RNAcentral lists this ribosomal RNA (232 nucleotides) under uncultured bacterium. RNAcentral describes it as "partial 16S ribosomal RNA". It matches the Rfam family "Bacterial small subunit ribosomal RNA", at positions 118 to 350 of the family's 1533-position model. The record is from RNAcentral.
UGAGCAACCUGCCCCUGGCUCUGGGAUAACUCCGGGAAACCGGAGCUAAUACCGGAUACGAGACCGAUUGGCAUCUUUACGGUCUGGAAAGUUUUUCGGCCAGGGAUGGGCUCGCGGCCUAUCAGCUUGUUGGUGGGGUAACGGUCCACCAAGGCGACGACGGGUAGCCGGCCUGAGAGGGCGACCGGCCACACUGGGACUGAGACACGGCCCAGACUCCUACGGGGAGGCA